RNAcentral lists this ribosomal RNA (841 nucleotides) under uncultured bacterium. RNAcentral's name for it is "bacterial SSU rRNA". It matches the Rfam family "Bacterial small subunit ribosomal RNA", at positions 609 to 1449 of the family's 1533-position model. The record is from RNAcentral.
UCAACCAANGUAUGCUUUGGAAACUGUUAGACUNGAGUGCAGAAGGGGAGAGUGGANUUCCAUGUGUAGCGGUGAAAUGCGUAGAUAUAUGGAGGAACACCGGUGGCGAAAGCGGCUCUCUGGUCUGUCACUGACGCUGAGGCUCGAAAGCGUGGGUAGCGAACAGGAUUAGAUACCCUGGUAGUCCACGCCGUAAACGCUGAGUGCUAGGUGUUAGGUCCUUUCCGGGACUUAGUGCCGACGCUAACGCAUUAAGCACUCCGCCUGGGGAGUACGACCGCAAGGUUGAAACUCAAAGGAAUUGACGGGGGCCCGCACAAGCGGUGGAGCAUGUGGUUUAAUUCGAAGCAACGCGAAGAACCUUACCAGGUCUUGACAUCCCGAUGCCCGCUCUAGAGAUAGAGUUUUUCUUCGGAACAUCGGAGACAGGUGGUGCAUGGUUGUCGUCAGCUCGUGUCGUGAGAUGUUGGGUUAAGUCCCGCAACGAGCGCAACCCUUAUUGUUAGUUGCCAUCAUUAAGUUGGGCACUCUAGCGAGACUGCCGGUAAUAAACCGGAGGAAGGUGGGGAUGACGUCAAAUCAUCAUGCCCCUUAUGACCUGGGCUACACACGUGCUACAAUGGUUGGUACAACGAGUCGCAAGCCGGUGACGGCAAGCUAAUCUCUGAAAGCCAAUCUCAGUUCGGAUUGUAGGCUGCAACUCGCCUACAUGAAGUCGGAAUCGCUAGUAAUCGCGGAUCAGCACGCCGCGGUGAAUACGUUCCCGGGCCUUGUACACACCGCCCGUCACACCACGAGAGUUUGUAACACCCAAAGUCGGUGAGGUAACCAUUUAUGGGGC